GGCUGGUUAGCUCAGUUGGUUAGAGCGUGGUGCUGAUAACUUUAAGGUCCCAGGUUCAAUCCUGUACCGGCCA
This is a non-coding RNA of Galeopterus variegatus (Sunda flying lemur), 73 nucleotides long. NCBI's taxonomy places the organism in Eukaryota, Metazoa, Chordata, Mammalia, Dermoptera, Cynocephalidae. The record is from the annotation of a RefSeq genome assembly.